AUUUUGUAUUCUGCAUAUCCCCUCCUCAAUCAUUGCCUAGCCCCUAGAUGGCCAAUUCCGAAAAACUAAUGAGUUGAGAUCAUGAAAGGGGACUUAUGCUUUCAUUAUGUAGAUAAAGACGCUUCAGGACAUUCCUGAAACCAGAGACUGAUGCAAGGAACUGAUCUCACUAUCAGGAGCGCAAGGGACGGCGGCGCAAGGGACGGCGGCGCAAGGGACGGCGGCGCAAGGGACGGCGGCGCAAGGGACGGCGGCGCAAGGGACGGCGCGCCUUUGCCCCAAGCUGGGACUCAAGCUGUUAUUGCCCUUGCCACAGGCCCCACCCUCAAGGGAGCAUAUUACAUGGCCCUGGAAACAGUAAACCACCCCCCAACCAUGUAAACCAGGCCCCACCCUCAAGGGAGCAUAUUACAUGGCCCUGGAAACAGUAAACCACCCCCCAACCAUGUAAACCAGCCCCCCAUGUAAUAAUAAACAAAUUACAUGGCUCUGGAAAUGGUAAGCCAGCCCCCCAUGGUUCGUUUUUCACUCUGGCAGCAGGGAAGGGCCUAGAACAAGAUAUACAGGUCACACCUGUUUUUAUACUUUACUCUCCCCCUUCAUACUUCAAAAGUGAUUCUUGGCCCUGUCUUGUGUUAGAGAAGGAUCCUCAUUAUGAAAUAUCCCCAUCGUCUUCCUCUGGCCUCCUGCAACAUGUCAUAGGUCGGCC
RNAcentral lists this long non-coding RNA (709 nucleotides) under Homo sapiens (human). RNAcentral describes it as "HSALNT0105895". Lineage: Eukaryota; Metazoa; Chordata; Mammalia; Primates; Hominidae. The record is from RNAcentral.